UACGUAGGGUGCAAGCGUUAUCCGGAAUUAUUGGGCGUAAAGAGCUUGUAGGUGGUUUGUCGCGUCUGCUGUGAAAAUCCGAGGCUCAACCUCGGACUUGCAGUGGGUACGGGCAGACUAGAGUGUGGUAGGGGGAGACUGGAAUUCCCUGGUGUAGCGGUGGAAUGCGCAGAUAUCAGGAGGAACACCGAUGGCGAAGGCAGGUCUCUGGGCCAUUACUGACACUGAGAAGCGGAAAGCAUGGGGAGCGAACAGG
RNAcentral lists this ribosomal RNA (256 nucleotides) under uncultured bacterium. RNAcentral's name for it is "partial 16S ribosomal RNA". It matches the Rfam family "Bacterial small subunit ribosomal RNA", at positions 524 to 776 of the family's 1533-position model. The record is from RNAcentral.